UUAUCCGGAUUUAUUGGGUUUAAAGGGUGCGUAGGCGGCAAGGUAAGUCAGCGGUGAAAGACCAGGGCUCAACUCUGGAAGUGCCGUUGAUACUGUCUGGCUAGAAUGAUUCCGCCGUGGGAGGAAUGAGUAGUGUAGCGGUGAAAUGCAUAGAUAUUACUCAGAACACCGAUUGCGAAGGCAUCUCACGAGGGGUUCAUUGACGCUGAGGCACGAAAGCGUGGGGAUCGAACAGGAUUAGAUACCCUGGUAGUCCACGCAGUAAACGAUGAUGGCUAACUGUCGGGCCUUCGGGUUCGGCGGCCAAGCGAAAGCGAUAAGCCAUCCACCUGGGGAGUACGACCGCAAGGUUGAAACUCAAAGGAAUUGACGGGGGCCCGCACAAGCGGAGGAACAUGUGGUUUAA
Molecule: ribosomal RNA, 406 nt
Filed under: uncultured bacterium
Lineage: Bacteria
Description: bacterial SSU rRNA
Rfam family: Bacterial small subunit ribosomal RNA
Source: RNAcentral